GUGAGUCAUCGAAUCUUUGAACGCACAUUGCGCCUCCCUUAACCGGGGGGCAUGCCUGUCUGAGCGUCAUUUAAACCUAUGGGCCCGAAUGGGUUCCGUGUUGGGCCUCGCCCCUCUUUGAGAGGCGUCGCCUUAAAGGCAUCGGCUUUAUGGAGCGGACGGGAUCCUUUUGGACUGACCGUUUCAUGGCUGGAAUUUGACUCUGACUUGACCUCAGAUCAGGUAGGGACACCGCCUGAACUUAAGCAUAUCAAUAAGCGGAGGA
RNAcentral lists this unclassified non-coding RNA (265 nucleotides) under Archaeorhizomyces sp. Its description in RNAcentral is "partial contains 5.8S ribosomal RNA, internal transcribed spacer 2, and large subunit ribosomal RNA". The stretch from base 1 to 69 matches the Rfam family "5.8S ribosomal RNA", at positions 84 to 154 of the family's 154-position model. The record is from RNAcentral. Lineage: Eukaryota; Fungi; Ascomycota; Archaeorhizomycetes; Archaeorhizomycetales; Archaeorhizomycetaceae.